Molecule: long non-coding RNA, 1797 nt
Organism: Apteryx owenii (little spotted kiwi)
Lineage: Eukaryota; Metazoa; Chordata; Aves; Apterygiformes; Apterygidae
Source: Ensembl
AUGAUUCCUUGUUUGGGAGGGUUGUGCUUUGAGAGUCAGUGCCUGAACAUCUUCCCGUGGGAAGUGCCGGUCUCGGGAGUGGUUUUCCUAGUCCUUACCUGGCUGAGCCUCGUGACAGGAGACUGCCACUUGCAUCCCUCUCCCUUAGUGCAGCGUGCAGAGCGAAUCCUGCAGGACUUCCCUGCACGUGCAGGGAAGAUGGAGGAGCUGGUUCUUCCGAAUCCCAGAGGCAAAGGGUUGCUGGGCCACCUGAGAAACAUGCUCAAAUCUCACCGCUUGCCUUUCCUGUCCUAUGCCCUUCCCUCACCAGGUUUCCCAUGGCUGUGUGAGCUUCCCCAGGGACACUGCAGCUGGUGGGGCUGCACCCUCCUGUUGUGGCCUUCCUGCUGGAUCCUGCGAGGGCCUUUAUUGCUUUCCUUCUUCUGCAAGCUGGCAACAGGGGUGACAAGUGUUUUCAGAGGCGGCAACUGUUUGACUACGUUCCUCUGGAAAGCCCCCUCUGACUUUUCUCUACCUGAAGACGUUCGGUUCUGCGAAUGGAAGACCAUCGCGCUAACCCCCAGCAGCCUCUGGUCUCACAUUAGCGCUCCUCUAAUCCAUUGCUCAGAGCUGCAUGGCCAUCCUUGGCAGCGCCUCCUUCCCCUUGCAGUCCCCAAAUCCGACAGGAUCCAGUGGAGCAGUCCCGGUGAGUUCAUGGAUAACCAUUUGCGUGCCACAUCUCAUCUGCGCUCCCCCAUUCGGAUGAAUGAAACCUUAAUGACAGCCCGAGUCGGGAAACCAAAUUGAUGAUGGGACCAAGGGCAUCCCUUGAUGGAGUGCAGCUCCCUGACAGCUCCUCUCGCUCAUCCAACCCUGCCAUAAGCGCUGUGCAUUACACCCAGACAGAAAGGACCAAAAGAGCCAAGGACUCGCACCGUUUUAACCCACCAUUUUUAUUCUUCUAUUCGGAAUAUUCCUCUGAAGUACAAUGUCCCUGUUGGUAAUGAGAACACACACACUUGGAACGAUCGGCUUGGGGUAAAUUGAGGGCAAUGCAGAUAUCUGAGGAAGAGUCAUAACCACCCUCUGAGCUCCUCUGGUAUCUAGGCUGCAAUGAACGUUUUGAAUUCAUGGCAUUAAAUAACUGGGCAAGCUCUGUUGCAAAGUUCACCAGAAGUGGACUGGAGCUGUUGCUGAGAUUUUCAUUUUUUAUGGCGAGCUCAUCCUUUUUUCUCUCGCUUCCUGGUUUUGCUCGGCCUUCCUCUAUACUUGACUCUUCUCUGUUGGAAGCUGCGGCAGGAUUAGCUGGUACCGCUUCUCUGCAACAAUGAGAAUGGCUUUCAGCAAAGAGUACUCACUGCUAGGAAGGAAGAGUCCAGUUAAAAAAAGUUUACAGCAGACGUCUCAACAGCUCACCAGGCACUCCAUGCUACUAUCACUACACAUGCUUUGUUGCUAAAAUAUAGAAAAUAUAAAGAAUGUCGGAAAAGAACAACUCACCGUUUUCUCUUCCUCAUCAGGAAAAUAACUAUACAUGUCAGCACUAGCCCAAACAAUACGGAACCCGAGACUGCAGCAGGGAGGACCAAACGAUGCUUUUCUACGGCUUUAUGAUCUGCAGCCUCUGCACCUUUGUCACCACCAAGACCUGGUGGUGGAAAGGAGACAAUCCCAUAUAUCACUGGGUUCUGCAGUAAUGAUAAUCUCACUGUGUGGCUGGGAUUCCCAGGCACUUUUACAUUCCCUGUUGUUACUAUCGCUGAUUCUGGUGUCUUGGCACCGGCGGACAAUAAAGUUCAUUUACACUUCUCUUGGGCA